GAUGAACGCUGGCGGCGUGUCUAAUACAUGCAAGUCGAGCGAACAGACGAGGAGCUUGCUCCUCUGACGUUAGCGGCGGACGGGUGAGUAACACGUGGAUAACCUACCUAUAAGACUGGGAUAACUUCGGGAAACCGGAGCUAAUACCGGAUAACAUGUUGAACCGCAUGGUUCAACAGUGAAAGACGGUUUUGCUGUCACUUAUAGAUGGAUCCGCGUCGCAUUAGCUAGUUGGUAAGGUAACGGCUUACCAAGGCAACGAUGCGUAGCCGACCUGAGAGGGUGAUCGGCCACACUGGAACUGAGACACGGUCCAGACUCCUACGGGAGGCAGCAGUAGGGAAUCUUCCGCAAUGGGCGAAAGCCUGACGGAGCAACGCCGCGUGAGUGAAGAAGGUCUUCGGAUCGUAAAACUCUGUUAUUAGGGAAGAACAAAUGUGUAAGUAACAAUGCACGUCUUGACGGUACCUAAUCAGAAAGCCACGGCUAACUACGUG
RNAcentral lists this ribosomal RNA (497 nucleotides) under uncultured bacterium. Its description in RNAcentral is "partial 16S ribosomal RNA". It matches the Rfam family "Bacterial small subunit ribosomal RNA", at positions 28 to 507 of the family's 1533-position model. The record is from RNAcentral.